RNAcentral lists this ribosomal RNA (145 nucleotides) under uncultured Streptococcus sp. Its description in RNAcentral is "partial 16S ribosomal RNA". It matches the Rfam family "Bacterial small subunit ribosomal RNA", at positions 1238 to 1382 of the family's 1533-position model. Lineage: Bacteria; Bacillati; Bacillota; Bacilli; Lactobacillales; Streptococcaceae. The record is from RNAcentral.
UACAACGAGUUGCGAGUCGGUGACGGCGAGCUAAUCUCUUAAAGCCAAUCUCAGUUCGGAUUGGAGUCUGCAACUCGACUCCAUGAAGUUGGAAUCGCUAGUAAUCGCGGAUCAGCACGCCGCGGUGAAUACGUUCCCGGGCCUU